AUAUCAAAAUAAUAGCCAAUUUUGCCUAUAUAAAGGAAGCUCCCCAUUUUGGUUCCUGCAUCCAAGAUUUGAGAGAAAUUCCAUUUUGUGAGAGAGAGAAAAAAAAUUAUGAGUUGUGUGAGAGAUUAAAAGCUCUAAUACUUUUGUGUAAUUACUGAGUGAGAGAUUGAGUAUAUUGAGGUUCUGGGAAGUGAGCCAAAAUAUUACAAUAUUUGUAAUUCUCAUUUCACUAGUAAAAUAUUUUCAUUUUGUUUUUGCUCGUGCACGUAAGUUAAAAGCCGAACCACGUAAUUUUCUGAUGUCCUCCUUAUGCUUGUUCUUUAUUUUCGUCCAAUUUCAUUUUAGCUGUGGCGCUGCUUCACCCACCAAUUUUCCUAACAUUUUACUGGGCUGUAACCGAAGAGAAGUUUUACUAUGACAACCUAGUAAUUUGAACUAUCAUUCUUAAUAGUAAUGAAUAGAGGUGUCAACUAUUAGGUUAAGGAAUGAUCGAUAGUUCAAAGCCAUAUUUUCAAUUUAUUAUUUUUGUUAUAUGUUUCAAGCCAAAUUCCUAGGGGUGAGUUUGAUAAUGGCUCUUCUUUUCCUAUUGGUCGCAUUUCAUGUAAAUCAAUUUAUUGGAAACCGAUACUUGAACUUGGUCGCUAAGAAAAUCCAAAACGCCAGUUAAUUACAUUAGAUGAUAAUUAUGUGAAAAGAUUCUAAUUGCUGCUGGAGAAAGGGAAAGAAGUCAUGUAAAGACUGAUAGAUAGCUCACCUGUAUAUAUGAAACAAGGGUGAGAGUUUGAUAAUAAUUUUUAAAAUUAUUGUUGUUAGCUGUGCCAUAACAAUAAUUAGAAGUGAAAAGUAUUCGUUAUGUGUUAAAUAAAUUUUAUUUUAAAGGUAUCGUGA
This 888-nucleotide long non-coding RNA is filed under the name Citrus maxima (pomelo). RNAcentral describes it as "long non-coding RNA (CMAX_LNC000426)". The record is from RNAcentral. Lineage: Eukaryota; Viridiplantae; Streptophyta; Magnoliopsida; Sapindales; Rutaceae.